CCCUUAGAUGUUCUGGGCUGCACGCGCGCUACACUGAUGCAUCCAGCGAGUUGUAACCUUGCUUGGUAAAGUUUGGUAAUCUGAGCCUAAUGUGCAUCGUGAUGGGAAUAGAGUUUUGCAACUAUUAGUCUUGAACGAGGAAUUCCUCGUAAGCACGAGUCAUCAGCUUGUGCUGAUUACGUCCCUGCCCUUUGUACACACCGCCCGUCGCUCCUACCGAUUGGGUGCUCCGGUGAAUAAUUCGGACUGCAGCACUGCUUGGUCUCCAGGCUUUGCAGCGGAAAGUUUAGUGAACCUUAUCACUUAGAGGAAGGAGAAGUCGUAACA
Molecule: ribosomal RNA, 327 nt
Filed under: uncultured eukaryote
Lineage: Eukaryota
Description: partial 18S ribosomal RNA
Rfam family: Eukaryotic small subunit ribosomal RNA
Source: RNAcentral